RNAcentral lists this transfer RNA (72 nucleotides) under Camelus bactrianus (Bactrian camel). It matches the Rfam family "tRNA". From Rfam's summary of the family: Transfer RNA (tRNA) molecules are approximately 80 nucleotides in length. The record is from Rfam by way of RNAcentral. Lineage: Eukaryota; Metazoa; Chordata; Mammalia; Artiodactyla; Camelidae. RNAcentral also lists the same sequence under 2 other names.
GAGGGCAUAGCUCAGUGGUAGAGUUCUCGCCUGGCAUGCGCAAGGUCCUGGGUUCGAUCCCUAGUACCUCUA